This 263-nucleotide ribosomal RNA is filed under the name uncultured bacterium. RNAcentral's name for it is "partial 16S ribosomal RNA". It matches the Rfam family "Bacterial small subunit ribosomal RNA", at positions 92 to 353 of the family's 1533-position model. The record is from RNAcentral.
CGAGUGGCGAACGGGUGAGUAACGCGUGAGGAACCUGCCUCAAAGAGGGGGACAACAGUUGGAAACGACUGCUAAUACCGCAUAAGCCCACGGGUCGGCAUGGUGCAGGGGUAAAAACUCCGGUGGUACAGGAUGGACCCGCGUCUGAUUAGCUGGUUGGUGAGGUAACGGCUCACCAAGGCGACGAUCAGUAGCCGACCUGAGAGGGUGACCGGCCACAUUGGGACUGAGACACGGCCCAAACUCCUACGGGAGGCAGCAUG